This is a long non-coding RNA of Daphnia pulex (common water flea), 1099 nucleotides long. RefSeq lists it as uncharacterized. NCBI's taxonomy places the organism in Eukaryota, Metazoa, Arthropoda, Branchiopoda, Diplostraca, Daphniidae. The transcript is spliced from 2 exons. The record is from RefSeq and is a predicted model, not a curated record.
UUGACAGUUUGUAUAUAUUUUCUUUUGAAAAACUAAACAACAUGCUUGUCAAGGUGAUUGAAUUACUGAAUGAUGAAAAGAUCCAAAUGACCUCGAAGCAAAUGACAGAAAUCCUAAAUUUGGUCAGCAAAGAAGAAUUUUUCUUGAAAUUCAUAUGGAGAGAAAAGUCGAAAAGGCUCUCGAUGAAGCAAAAGUAGCGACAGAUGAAUUAUCGCACUUAGCAGCAUCCACAAAAGCCAAACCAAAAGACUGUCAAAUAAGCCAAGCCAUAACGUUACCUGCAGAAACCUCAUGGAGUCGUCACUAACGAUGGAAAUUCAAUGGAUCGUCAAGUUUAUCCCUCAAUUCUACGCUUCUUCGAAUAAUAUCGACAGAUCGAGAAAAAUCUAUCGAACUUUAACUUGAUCGUCUGGUUUCGUUGGGAAGGGAUUUACUUUUCCGUCUGCCUGGACGUGGGGUCAAAAGGAGCUAGGAGUUGGCCAGCUUGGACUAUCAGAUUGCGUCUCGGGUGAAUCCCCCCAAUCUGUACGUCCUUUACUUGACAAUGACAUACGAAUAUGCAAAGUGGUUUGCGGCUCACAGCUUUCAUUGGCGCUCACGUUGGAUGGACGUGUACUUGCGUGUGGAGUUACUAGUACAAGUCGAGCCACACUGAAGUAUCCUUAUCUUUCUCUACUACCAUCAUCUGAGCACCAAUAUUUCUAAUAGAAGUGUUUUCAUACAACGUGGGGAAAUUAAUUAUGGAUACUUGUUUCUUAAACUAGUUACUGAUCAGGUGGUAUUUCAAAAGUUUUUCUUCACACAAAACGAAAUCGACAUCAUCGACGACACGUCUCUAAGAAGUAGAAAAACAAAAGGAAAAUGUUGCAAAACGAAUCUUUUGAAAUUGCAUUCCACAGAAUUGCAUAAAUACAGCACAAGAGCACAACAAAUAUCUCAAUAAUAAACCCACGACCAAAAAAUUGUAUUUAAUUUUCCUGAAACAAAUACGCACGGCGGUUUAGGGGGGAAUAUUGCGAGCUAAAUCUCGUCUAAGGGGUCUACUGUACUAGAUUCAUCAGAGUCUGAAUUAAUUGAAACAUGAAGUAAAUUGCCACGG